GUGCCCUGUUGGAUAAUGGUGUGCUUACAAACAGCAAAGAAGCACUAAGAAUUCAAGUGGGAAGCAGAAAGAGUUGUGGGAGGCCUGCAGAGAAGCCUAUGGCACAUUCUCUUGACCCAUUAAUUUUUAGGUAGGUGAUUCCUUCUUUUUGUGCCAACUACCAUAAAGCAGCUCCAGAGGCUCCGAGUUAGAAUCCAUGCAUUGGCCGGGAAUCGAACCCGGGUCAACUACUUGGAAGGCAGCUAUGCUCACCUCUAUACCACCAAUGCCAUGCUAGGCAAUUCAACUCUGCUGAACAAAAGUUUAAGUAUGUGCUCUUCUCAUCAGCAGACUAUAGGCAAGAGCCGACUCACAGCU
Long non-coding RNA from Ictalurus punctatus (channel catfish), 357 nucleotides. NCBI's taxonomy places the organism in Eukaryota, Metazoa, Chordata, Actinopteri, Siluriformes, Ictaluridae. The record is from Ensembl.